AACGCGUAUUUUCGCCUAACGAUAUGGAAGUAAAUUGUGCACUCGCUGUUUCCAUCGAGUCUAUAACAAUUUAAAGAAAGAUCGAAACUAAGACAGGAAACGCGAAAUGUUUGUGCGACCAUUUGGUAUAAAUUACUUUUAGCUGUGACCGAUUGCAGAAAAUAUGUCUUAGAUUGCCAUUUGACGUUUCAUAGUGAAUAUGGUAGAGUAGAAGUGAAAAAGUUUGCGCGUAUGAAAAUAUAUAUUCUACGCGUGACGUUGUUCAAAGAGAUGGUUUCCUUCACCCUGCUAUAUACGUAUCACCAGUCCGGAAGUCGUUUGAGGUGCUGCGAUGCCUAAUCGUUUGCUUGCGGAAUUCUCGUCAACCUUUUCUGCUUCUGUUCUUCAUUCGUUACGUAAAAGAGCA
Molecule: unclassified non-coding RNA, 406 nt
Filed under: Bombus terrestris (buff-tailed bumblebee)
Lineage: Eukaryota; Metazoa; Arthropoda; Insecta; Hymenoptera; Apidae
Description: misc RNA ENSBTSG00005039158.1
Source: RNAcentral